GACGAACGCUGGCGGCGUGCCUAAUACAUGCAAGUUGAGCGCUGAAGGUUGGUACUUGUACCGACUGGAUGAGCAGCGAACGGGUGAGUAACGCGUGGGGAAUCUGCCUUUGAGCGGGGGACAACAUUUGGAAACGAAUGCUAAUACCGCAUAAAAACUUUAAACACAAGUUUUAAGUUUGAAAGAUGCAAUUGCAUCACUCAAAGAUGAUCCCGCGUUGUAUUAGCUAGUUGGUGAGGUAAAGGCUCACCAAGGCGAUGAUACAUAGCCGACCUGAGAGGGUGAUCGGCCACAUUGGGACUUGGACGCGGCCCAAACUCCUACGGGUAGCAGCAGUAGGGAAUCUUCGGCAAUGGACGAAAGUCUGACCGGGCAACGCCGCGUGAGUGAAGAAGGUUUUCGGAUCGUAAAACUCUGUUGGUAGAGAAGAACGUUGGUGAGAGUGGAAAGCUCAUCAAGUGACGGUAACUACCCAGAAAGGGACGGCUAACUACGUG
Molecule: ribosomal RNA, 497 nt
Filed under: uncultured bacterium
Lineage: Bacteria
Description: partial 16S ribosomal RNA
Rfam family: Bacterial small subunit ribosomal RNA
Source: RNAcentral